GAUAAACGCUGGCGGCGUGCCUAAUACAUGCAAGUCGAGCGAACGGACGAGAAGCUUGCUUCUCUGAUGUUAGCGGCGGACGGGUGAGUAACACGUGGAUAACCUACCUAUAAGACUGGGAUAACUUCGGGAAACCGGAGCUAAUACCGGAUAAUAUUUUGAACCGCAUGGUUCAAAAGUGAAAGACGGUCUUGCUGUCACUUAUAGAUGGAUCCGCGCUGCAUUAGCUAGUUGGUAAGGUAACGGCUUACCAAGGCAACGAUGCAUAGCCGACCUGAGAGGGUGAUCGGCUACACUGGAACUGAGACACGGUCCAGACUCCUACGGGAGGCAGCAGUAGGGAAUCUUCCGCAAUGGGCGAAAGCCUGACGGAGCAACGCCGCGUGAGUGAUGAAGGUCUUCGGAUCGUAAAACUCUGUUAUUAGGGAAGAACAUAUGUGUAAGUAACUGUGCACAUCUUGACGGUACCUAAUCAGAAAGCCACGGCUAACUACGUGCCAGCAGCCGCGGUAAUACGUAGGUGGCAAGCGUUAUCCGGAAUUAUUGGGCGUAAAGCGCGCGUAGGGCGGUUUUUUAAGUCUGAUGUGAAAGCCCACGGCUCAACCGUGGAGGGUCAUUGGAAACUGGAAAACUUGAGUGCAGAAGAGGAAAGUGGAAUUCCAUGUGUAGCGGUGAAAUGCGCAGAGAUAUGGAGGAACACCAGUGGCGAAGGCGACUUUCUGGUCUGUAACUGACGCUGAUGUGCGAAAGCGUGGGGAUCAAACAGGAUUAGAUACCCUGGUAGUCCACGCCGUAAACGAUGAGUGCUAAGUGUUAGGGGGUUUCCGCCCCUUAGUGCUGCAGCUAACGCAUUAAGCACUCCGCCUGGGGAGUACGACCGCAAGGUUGAAACUCAAAGGAAUUGACGGGGACCCGCACAAGCGGUGGAGCAUGUGGUUUAAUUCGAAGCAACGCGAAGAACCUUACCAAAUCUUGACAUCCUUUGACAACUCUAGAGAUAGAGCCUUCCCCUUCGGGGGACAAAGUGACAGGUGGUGCAUGGUUGUCGUCAGCUCGUGUCGUGAGAUGUUGGGUUAAGUCCCGCAACGAGCGCAACCCUUAAGCUUAGUUGCCAUCAUUAAGUUGGGCACUCUAAGUUGACUGCCGGUGACAAACCGGAGGAAGGUGGGGAUGACGUCAAAUCAUCAUGCCCCUUAUGAUUUGGGCUACACACGUGCUACAAUGGACAAUACAAAGGGCAGCGAAACCGCGAGGUCAAGCAAAUCCCAUAAAGUUGUUCUCAGUUCGGAUUGUAGUCUGCAACUCGACUACAUGAAGCUGGAAUCGCUAGUAAUCGUAGAUCAGCAUGCUACGGUGAAUACGUUCCCGGGUCU
Molecule: ribosomal RNA, 1373 nt
Filed under: uncultured bacterium
Lineage: Bacteria
Description: bacterial SSU rRNA
Rfam family: Bacterial small subunit ribosomal RNA
Source: RNAcentral